RNAcentral lists this ribosomal RNA (914 nucleotides) under uncultured marine bacterium. RNAcentral's name for it is "bacterial SSU rRNA". It matches the Rfam family "Bacterial small subunit ribosomal RNA", at positions 82 to 1029 of the family's 1533-position model. The record is from RNAcentral.
ACCCUUCGGGUUAGUGGCGGACGGGUGAGUAACGCGUGGGAAUCUGCCCUCAGGAGGGGGAUAACGGCUGGAAACGGCCGCUAAUACCCCAUAUGCCGAGAGGUGAAAUGAAUUUCGCCUGAGGAUGAGCCCGCGUCUGAUUAGCUAGUUGGUGAGGUAAGAGCUCACCAAGGCAUCGAUCAGUAGCUGGUCUGAGAGGAUGAUCAGCCACACUGGGACUGAGACACGGCCCAGACUCCUACGGGAGGCAGCAGUGGGGAAUUUUCCGCAAUGGGCGAAAGCCUGACGGAGCAACGCCGCGUGAGGGAUGAAGGCCUCUGGGCUGUAAACCUCUUUUCUCAAGGAAGAAGAUCUGACGGUACUUGAGGAAUAAGCCACGGCUAAUUCCGUGCCAGCAGCCGCGGUAAUACGGGAGUGGCAAGCGUUAUCCGGAAUUAUUGGGCGUAAAGCGUCCGCAGGCGGCCCUUCAAGUCUGCUGUUAAAACGUGGAGCUUAACUCCAUCAUGGCAGUGGAAACUGUUGGGCUUGAGUGUGGUAGGGGCAGAGGGAAUUCCCGGUGUAGCGGUGAAAUGCGUAGAUAUCGGGAAGAACACCAGUGGCGAAGGCGCUCUGCUGGGCCAUAACUGACGCUCAUGGACGAAAGCCAGGGGAGCGAAAGGGAUUAGAUACCCCUGUAGUCCUGGCCGUAAACGAUGAACACUAGGUGUCGGGGGAAUCGACCCCCUCGGUGUCGUAGCCAACGCGUUAAGUGUUCCGCCUGGGGAGUACGCACGCAAGUGUGAAACUCAAAGGAAUUGACGGGGGCCCGCACAAGCGGUGGAGUAUGUGGUUUAAUUCGAUGCAACGCGAAGAACCUUACCAGGGUUUGACAUCCUGCGAACCUCUUGGAAACGAGAGGGUGCCUUCGGGAACGC